UGACAGAUUUUUCAUUUUUGGGUGAACUAUACCUUUAAAUCAUCGCACUGAGUCGUUAAAAAGAACAUGAUCAUAAAAGUCACUAGUUCGUGAAUCAUGCAUCACGGUGUUCGUUGUUUUUACGGUAAACACCGGCGCGUGCUGUGAAGAGAUUAAUCUAAAGAUAUCACAUAUUUACACCCGGAAAACUGUUAUAACUGUCACCAAUGUCGACUAGACGUUACAUUAUUGACGAAAAAUUUUAUUUUUGUAACUAUUUUAGCCAUUGUACUACUCGAUAUUUGACAGCGCGAGUUAGUUACGUUAGCCUACCUUUGCAAUCCACUGCAUGGUUUUUGAUGAGGAAAAAGUGCUGCCCAGAAGGUGAUAAAGCGGCUACAAGACCAAGUUUAUUGCCAGCACUUCUCUUUCCAGCCCUGCAAAGGUCCUCAGAGUCGCAACAGAUGUUCAGCACCUCAACUCUCAAGGUGAACAACAACGUCAUCUAGCACUCCCUUGCGGCCCCCUUAGGGUUUCUGGACCCCUGUUUAAACCCCUGCAGUAGGCGAUGACCUCAGCAUGCAUGAAGGAAGUCUUCCAUGUUUUCCUGCUAUCCUUUUCCAUACCUGUUGUUUUGUGAUGUGCUGCUGGAAAAAAGUAUAUUAGCCAUGGUGACACAUACAAAACCUCAUUCUACGUCACUGCAGCAAGAAAAAUAACAGAAGGAGGUUAGGUGAUGCUGUUCAGUUGCUUCCUGUUACAACUGGAGAGACAUGUAAGUGUCACCGGAGUCAUUUCUCACCUUAUUGAGAUGCCAACCUCCUUUUGUAUCAUCCCCUGACAAUUGAAGCUGAGGUCUAGGUGUUUUCUAUUAUGAUGCACCAUUCACAGCAUCUGUUUUUUUGCAAUUACCCAAGAUGAUCCUGAAAUAUACAUAUAUAGCUUGCCCUUUAUACAUAAUAUAUUGUAUAAUAAUUUCUAUGGUGCAUAUUUUAGUUAGUUUAUGUUUAUAUUUUAGUUAGAUUAUACUAGGACCUUAAAUAACAUAUAAAGGCAAACAGGCAUAAUACAAGAAAUAAUAACAUCAGUAUGAUGAAGAGAACAAAUUUUAAGACUUUGUUGCUUGAAUUGCAAAAAAAAAUCCAAGGAAAAAAGCAGAACAACGACAGAGGACAGAGGAAAAAAGAGAAAGAAAGAUAGGAACCCAAGGUGCCUCUUUUGUUUAAUUAGCUGAGCCAAAUUAAUUAGUAACAGAAGCUUGAAUUAAUUAUGGUUGAAAAGCGGCAAAGAGACUGACAGUCAUGGUAACGUCCCAAAGAUUUACUGUUUCAGCUACUGUUAUUGUGCAAUUAGACAGUCUCUCACUUUCUCUUCAGCUCAUUAUAAUAUAAAUAACAUUGCUCCCAAAAUACAGCUUUUAUUUCCUUUCUACUGCUUGUGUCAUGCUGUUUCUCCUCUGAAUCUGUUCUUUUUGAUUGGGCUCUGUAAUUUGCGGCCUUUUAUUUGUUUUAUUGCCUGAGUGCUUGCUGUUAUUUGUUUUAGUGCCAGUGUAUUAUUGGAAAUGUUUGGUUCAAGUCACUCCGCUUUACUGGUGGAGUAUGAGGAUUUGGGAUUGCAUGAGUCAAUCCGCAUCGGAUGCUUUUGUCCUUAAUAAGCUUUUUAACUAGCUUAAUCAGCAAGGUCAACCUUUGUCAAUCAUGAUUACAAUUUUUUAAUUGAGUAUGAUUUUUAAUUUCAAUUUCUUAAUUUGAUGUAGCAAACAGGAUGCAUAAUUGAAUACUCUAAAGUAGAAUAAACAUUGAAAAGUAUUAAAUUUCAAUAUGUUGUGUUAGUUUUAUCUAAAUCAGAGGUUUUCUUGUGGAAACCUCCCUCCUUUUCUCUUGAAGCCAUUACGGAAGUGACUUAAACUGCAAUUCAUAGA
This is a long non-coding RNA of Megalobrama amblycephala (Wuchang bream), 1900 nucleotides long. RefSeq lists it as uncharacterized. Lineage: Eukaryota; Metazoa; Chordata; Actinopteri; Cypriniformes; Xenocyprididae. The transcript has 3 exons. The record is from RefSeq and is a predicted model, not a curated record.